GUAGGUGGCAAGCGUUGUCCGGAAUUAUUGGGCGUAAAGCGUGCGCAGGCGGUUCUUUAAGUCUGAUGUGAAAGCCCACGGCUCAACCGUGGAGGGUCAUUGGAAACUGAGAACUUGAGUACAGAAGAGGAAAGCGGAAUUCCACGUGUAGCGGUGAAAUGCGUAGAGAUGUGGAGGAACACCAGUGGCGAAGGCGGCUUUCUGGUCUGUAACUGACGCUGAGGCGCGAAAGCGUGGGGAGCAAACAGGAUUAGAUACCCUGGUAGUCCACGCCGUAAACGAUGAGUGCUAAGUGUUAGGGGGGUUUCCGCCCCCCUUAGUGCUGCAGCUAACGCAUUAAGCACUCCGCCUGGGAGUACGGCCGCAAGGCUG
This 372-nucleotide ribosomal RNA is filed under the name uncultured organism. RNAcentral's name for it is "partial 16S ribosomal RNA". It matches the Rfam family "Bacterial small subunit ribosomal RNA", at positions 527 to 896 of the family's 1533-position model. The record is from RNAcentral.